UACGGAGGAUGCGAGCGUUAUCCGGAUUUACUGGGUGUAAAGGGAGCGUAGGCGGCUUAGUAAGUCAGAAGUGAAAGCCCGCAGCUCAACUGCGGGACUGCUUUUGAAACUGCCAAGCUAGAGUGUCGGAGAGGUAAGUGGAAUUCCUAGUGUAGCGGUGAAAUGCGUAGAUAUUAGGAGGAACACCAGUGGCGAAGGCGGUCUGCUGGACAGCAACUGACGCUGAGGCGCGAAAGCGUGGGGAGCAAACAGG
RNAcentral lists this ribosomal RNA (253 nucleotides) under uncultured Eubacteriales bacterium. Its description in RNAcentral is "uncultured Clostridiales bacterium partial 16S ribosomal RNA". It matches the Rfam family "Bacterial small subunit ribosomal RNA", at positions 524 to 776 of the family's 1533-position model. The record is from RNAcentral. Lineage: Bacteria; Bacillati; Bacillota; Clostridia; Eubacteriales.